Long non-coding RNA from Mauremys mutica (yellowpond turtle), 827 nucleotides. RefSeq lists it as uncharacterized. The record is from RefSeq and is a predicted model, not a curated record. The transcript is spliced from 3 exons. Lineage: Eukaryota; Metazoa; Chordata; Testudines; Geoemydidae.
GUGUUUUGUGCCACUCCCAGAUUCUGUGUUAUAUGGAUGGAAGAAAACACUCUGGCAUGUGGGCCUGAUUUAUAGAUACCAUGGAGACAGGAACCUUACAUAUGUGUAUAGACUCCAGCAUGUGAAGAGCCGCCUGCUAUUGAUUUUGGGGGGAUUGUUAGUGAUGACAAAUUAGAGUAUAAGGAAGGUGACAAAGUGCAAUACAAGUGCAAUCCUGCAUACAGCCUGAUGGGAACUGAAUGGAUCACAUGCAGUGGAAAAACCUGGACACCUGCACCACAGUGUUUGGAAGAGAGUUUUCUCCAUUUUAUCAAAUUCCAAGAUUUUUGUUGUUAACCCUAAAUGCGAGCAAUGACACAGGACCUGACUACUGGAGGCAUGGUGUAAAAAUAUCCAUAACAAAGAAUAUGGCGAUGAAACACCAUUGUAUCAUCAUAAGAAAGAGAAGAGAGCUGCAACAUUAGGAGAAAUUGGCAAAUAAUAUUAAUCAAGAUCCUCAUUUCAGUGACCUCAUAGGAGUUGAUGGGCCCCCUAAGGCUGUACCUUGGAGAGGGGUACAGAGAGGUGCAUCUCUCCAUUUAUCCUGGCCUGCUUCACUGCUAAAAGUCCUCCCCUGAAAGCAAGGAAAAAGCCACUGAGUGAGGGGGAUGUUCUAACAGGAUAUGCCUAGAUAAACCUGGGGAUGUGCACUAUAUACAUACUACAGCUACAGUGUGUAAAGAAGUAAAAUAUUCAACAUACCUGCAAAGGUCCAAUGCACUAUUGUUUAUUUUUUACAUAUGCAUUAUUGUAAUAGGCAUGGAAGUGAUUAAAAUUCCAAAAUUCUA